RNAcentral lists this ribosomal RNA (453 nucleotides) under uncultured organism. RNAcentral describes it as "partial 16S ribosomal RNA". It matches the Rfam family "Bacterial small subunit ribosomal RNA", at positions 331 to 800 of the family's 1533-position model. The record is from RNAcentral.
GUACACUCCUGCGGGAGGCAGCAGUGGGGAAUAUUGGACAAUGGGCGCAAGCCUGAUCCAGCCAUGCCGCGUGAGUGAUGAAGGCCCUAGGGUUGUAAAGCUCUUUCACCGGUGAAGAUAAUGACGGUAACCGGAGAAGAAGCCCCGGCUAACUUCGUGCCAGCAGCCGCGGUAAUACGAAGGGGGCUGGCGUUGUUCGGAUUUACUGGGCGUAAAGCGCACGUAGGCGGACUAUUAAGUCAGGGGUGAAAUCCCGGGGCUCAACCCCGGAACUGCCUUUGAUACUGGUAGUCUUGAGUUCGAGAGAGGUGAGUGGAAUUCCGAGUGUAGAGGUGAAAUUCGUAGAUAUUCGGAGGAACACCAGUGGCGAAGGCGGCUCACUGGCUCGAUACUGACGCUGAGGUGCGAAAGCGUGGGGAGCAAACAGGAUUAGAUACCCCGGUAGUCCCAUGA